UCUACGUGGUGCUGCAGUGGGGAAUAUUGGACAAUGGGCGAAAGCCUGAUCCAGCCAUGCCGCGUGUGUGAAGAAGGCCUUCGGGUUGUAAAGCACUUUCAGUGGGGAAGAAAGCCUUGGGGCUAAUACCCUCGAGGAAGGACAUCACCCACAGAAGAAGCACCGGCUAACUCCGUGCCAGCAGCCGCGGUAAUACGGAGGGUGCGAGCGUUAAUCGGAAUUACUGGGCGUAAAGCGCGCGUAGGCGGUCUGAUAAGCCGGUUGUGAAAGCCCCGGGCUCAACCUGGGAACGGCAUCCGGAACUGUCAGGCUAGAGUGCAGGAGAGGAAGGUAGAAUUCCCGGUGUAGCGGUGAAAUGCGUAGAGAUCGGGAGGAAUACCAGUGGCGAAGGCGGCCUUCUGGACUGACACUGACGCUGAGGUGCGAAAGCGUGGGUAGCAAACAGGAUUAGAUACCCUAGUAGUC
This 465-nucleotide ribosomal RNA is filed under the name Vreelandella stevensii. RNAcentral describes it as "partial 16S ribosomal RNA". It matches the Rfam family "Bacterial small subunit ribosomal RNA", at positions 338 to 795 of the family's 1533-position model. Lineage: Bacteria; Pseudomonadati; Pseudomonadota; Gammaproteobacteria; Oceanospirillales; Halomonadaceae. The record is from RNAcentral.